GCAUAUCAAUAAGCGGAGGAAAAGAAACCAACAGGGAUUACCUCAGUAACGGCGAAGUGAAGCGGUAACAGCUCAAAUUUGAAAUCUGGCCCUUUUAGGGUCCGAGUUGUAAUUUGUAGAAGAUGCUUCGGGUGUGGCUCCGGUCUAAGUUCCUUGGAACAGGACGUCAUAGAGGGUGAGAAUCCCGUAUGUGACUGGUUGCCUUCGCCCAUGUGAAGCUCUUUCGACGAGUCGAGUUGUUUGGGAAUGCAGCUCUAAAUGGGAGGUAAAUUUCUUCUAAAGCUAAAUAUUGGCCAGAGACCGAUAGCGCACAAGUAGAGUGAUCGAAAGAUGAAAAGCACUUUGGAAAGAGAGUUAAACAGUACGUGAAAUUGUUGAAAGGGAAGCGCUUGCAACCAGACUUGCCUGCCGUCGAUCAUCCUCCGUUCUCGGUGGUGCACUCGGCGGUGGUCAGGCCAGCAUCGGUUUCGGUGGUGGGAUAAAGACCUUGGGAAUGUAGCUGCUCUCGGGCAGUGUUAUAGCCCUCGGUGCAAUGCCGCCUACCGGGACCGAGGACCGCGCUUCGGCUAGGAUGCUGGCGUAAUGGUUGUAAGCGACCCGUCUUGAAACACGGACCAAGGAGUCUAACAUCUAUGCGAGUGUUUGGGUGUUAAACCCAUACGCGGAAUGAAAGUGAACGGAGGUGAGAACCCUUUAGGGUGCAUCAUCGACCGAUCCUGAUGUCUUCGGAUGGAUUUGAGUAAGAGCAUAGCUGUUGGGACCCGAAAGAUGGUGAACUAUGCCUAAAUAGGGUGAAGCCAGAGGAAAACUCUGGUGGAGGCUCGCAGCGGUUUCUGACGUGCAAAUCGAUUCGUCAAAUUUGGGGUAAUAGGGGCGAAAGACUAAUCGAACCAUCUAGUAGCUGGUUUCCUGCCGAAG
RNAcentral lists this ribosomal RNA (918 nucleotides) under Gloeotinia granigena. RNAcentral describes it as "LSU rRNA". It matches the Rfam family "Eukaryotic large subunit ribosomal RNA", at positions 38 to 966 of the family's 3401-position model. Lineage: Eukaryota; Fungi; Ascomycota; Leotiomycetes; Helotiales. The record is from RNAcentral.